CUCCGUUAACUUCCGUUUGAUCAAAAUCUGCCCCAGAAACUUGAUUCUCUCUUGUUCAAACAGGCAAAUCGGAUGGUUUCGUAAGUUUCAUUCCGUUUCUCCGUCGUUAAUGCUGAAACCACCAGUUUGGUAAAUGAUCGUUCCAAGUUCACGGAGUGGAUACAACACACGACCAAGGAAUCGCGGUUCGCUGAAUGGAUCCGCGAGAAGCCGUUAGAUGACAACCCACGAUUUUCCUUAAUAAUGUUCGUCCACUGUGAUUACGCCGCUAUUAUCUCUCUGGAUCGUAAUACUAUUUUCAUUAAUAUUUUUCAAGCGAACCGAGAAGCGCGUGUAUACGUUUCAUCGUUGAAUUGAAACGGUUAUUUUGAAAACCGAUAGAUCCAUCUGUGAUCUAAAAAUAAUAACGAGCAUUAUUUAAAAUAAAUUACGCACGCUAUCGUAUGUGCUUCGUUAGCUGUGCUCGAUUAAAUCUUCAGGUAUUAUCGGUUUUUGUUGAUGGCACAUGUGAGUUUUGCAUUCGUAACCGGUUGCAGAAGAAUGUUGUUAAACCGAAGCGUCUCUCGCAGAAUUUUCUCGAUUGCACUCGAAUAACGUGCCUAUAUAAUAAUUUACGUUACAAGUUUGCGUAAUCCGAAGUUAAAAUGUUAAAUAUAAAUUUAUCGAAAUAUUUAGAUUUGCGUUACGCGAAUGACCGACGUGGUGUACCGUAAGCUUUCGUGUUUGAGUACAACUAUGUAAUGGCAGGGGAAAGAGGGGGCGAGGAAGGAACUCAAAUCGCGUGUAUGGCUCAUUAUUGUGUCGUGUAUUUCCUUUCACAUCGAGUGCACCGUUACCGAUAUCGCUUUACAAUUUGUUAUUUUUUUUUUUUCAUACAAAAAAGGAUGAUUCGAUGAUCAGCGCGGCUACAUGUCAUUCCGUAACGUUCGUCAAUCGCGUGGAUGAGAUCGGCGAACGAUCAUUGUCGUUACACGUAUUUCAUACAUAUUUUUCUUUAUCUUUAGCGUAACCAUCUCCUUCAGAAUGAAUAUCAUACAAAAUCUAAGGCUAUACGUAAUUAAUCUUAAUUCCUUCGUUUUAUAUAUAUAUAUAUAUAUACGAACGUAAUGUGGUAAUACGACACACGCGGCGUUGAUUUUUAAUUGUAUCGGUCUCUUAACGUUUAAAGUAAUUUACAAAAGUCCAGUGUUAUCGUGGAUCAAUGAGUGAUUUUUCGGAGACGGCGGUGAUAGGCCCUGAUUUUUAGAACGUUUACAUUUUUCUUUUUAUGCGUUUCUAAGAAAGAUUAAGUGUCUUCGAUAUCACGAGAUCCGGGUGAAAAUUCGUGAUUACCGGCAAAUCGAUUUAACCUGUGGCCGAGUCUCACUUUGGAUGUUUGCGCGUGUUUCAGAAACCGGAAACAGUAUGUAUAUGCGACGAAAAACGUUACAAACUUAGCAUCCAAGUUCCUUGAGCGACAGAAAAUCUGUUUCUCGGAAUAACGGUGUACAAAGCACCCUGACAGUCUCAUUUGUUAUUGAUUACGGAUUAUUAUCGUUAACGUCGAUUUCGGAAAAGUUUUUGAACGAUGGCUACGAACAGUAGAAAAAUUCUAUUCCCACGGAGAGUAGGCCGAAAUACGUUUUUCGUAAUCUUAUCGUUUAAACCGAGUAUUGAUAAAUCGAAACGCAACCGGAAGUGAGCUCAGAUCUACAAUCGUACAAGCGAUGAAACACAAUUUACCGAAUGUACAUUAUCGAUUACUAAGAAUAAUUAAUCUCGACGAUAAUUGUAAAUAUACCAUAUCAGAAAGAAAUUAAACUACGAAAAUUCAUAGCACAUCUUUACAUACAGUGUACAUACAAUAAAACCUACGUACGUAUUUGUACAUGGUAGUACGAUACAGUAUUCGAUUAUUAACGUUCAGAAUUUCUAUUCGACGCAGCUGAUCGUCGAGCAAAUAAAAGUCGAUGCAAACUACUCGUUGAACAUUAAUUUAACGAGUCUAUACAGGUCGCUAAUUAUAGACUAUGUAAAAUAUCUUUAUUGCUAUUUUAACGAAGUAAGCAAUUUCUCUGCGACAGCUAAUUAAUCGUAAAGAAUACUUUUCGUUAAUACUUUUCCUUGAUAUCCUUCCAAGGAAUCUUAAACAUUUGCUCCACAGUUUUUCGCGACAAAGAAUGAUUGUUGGGAGUACGGAACAAAAUGUAUCUUUUGAUGAAAUGAAAGCUAUACAGCGUGUUUUAAUAAAAAGCGUCGUGUCUUUUUGCUUCGAGUACAUAUGUAUCAUUAAAAAACAAAGAAUCGCUAUGAAACGUUUCGUAACGCUAGCCGCUAUAUACAUUGAAAGAGUAAUACAUACAUAUCGUCAGUAAUCAUAAAGUACUAAUAUUUUGACGUCGUGCGAAUAUCCGAAUCUAAAUAAAUUAGGCUAAAUCGGACGCCUCGCGUGCCGAUCGAUGUUAUUUAUAUAUGUAUAUAUGUUCAAGUAUCGGUAAUAAAACUUAACGAACUUUGUUAGUUUCUAAUCGCAGCACUGUUCGCGAGAAUAAAUGUGCAUAAAAGACGCAACGGUGGUUUACCUUUACGAGACUAUUUUCAUCUACUGUUUACACGAUGAGAAUCCUCUGUAAAAUCUCUUUAAAAAUCCAAGUAUAUCCGUAUCAAAUGUAAAUAUUCAAAUCAGCGGUGAAUCGAAAUUACGCGUUAUAAAAGUACAAGAUCGGUUGUAUAAAAACUGGUCUCCAUAGCCAGGUGUAAAAAAGUAAGGGUUGCGAUUCGUUACAUCUUAAACUCAUCAGUCGCAUAGAAUAUCACAGGAACGUUAGUAGGUGCCACUGAAUUUACACACACUAGACAGAAAAUACAUCCAUUACGUGUACACGCGUUUAAGCAAAUACAGCAGAAUCAGAAGAGAACCGUAAAAUCCUUUUAUUUCAACCGAAUUCGAGUUGAAAACCUACGUGUGUUAUUAGUUCCAUCUAACAAAUCAUUCGGAGCUAAUUUCAAAACAAUAUUUUACGCGCGUUGCGCUCAUCGAUCGAGAACUGCACACAUAAAACAUUGAUCUGAAGGUAUUUCCUUGAACGAAAAAAAUACAAGUAACGAUUAAAGCGCUACGAAAACGAAACGUAAGCAUAUUGAAUGCCCGUGACGAUAAUCUUAUUCGAUACCAUUUCAAAAUUCGUUUCUUGUAUCAAAAUUGUAAAAAAGUUUUUAGUGCAAGCAUCUCAACUUGCAACAAACAUCGUGCUUGGCUAGUCUUUCCUUUCUUUUCUUUUUCUUGGUGUAAUAAGUUUGUGCUGCUAUCAUUGACGUCUGCAUCCAUUACAGUAGAGAACAAAUGAAUUACUUCGUCAAAAUACUUGAUAGUCGGUUUCUUCUGUAAACGUGUUUAUUUCAGUUUUAUACUCGAUGAUUAUUUGUCAAAUGCAGCACAAUCAUAUUCACGAUUAUUCAUUGCCAAGGCAAUAGGAGAAUUUACAAAAUUCCACGCUAAUUCAUUCGAGUACUAUGGUUACAAAAACGCGUUUAGCGCGAAUGGCAUCAUUAAUGCGAAGAUGACGCAUUCUCCGUUAAUCGGUUGUUUAUUUUUCUGGCCACAAGAGUACUUUGAACGACUAUCGAUUUGAGAAAACCGCCGUCUCCUCUUUAUCUUUACUAGCUUCUUAGUCGUACGACAGAUGCCAUGCACACGUUCUUAUAGGGCACGCUUCGCUAUAAUUUGCACUACAUGUUCCUAGCCAGUUACAUAGAGCCACUUACCCCGUGAUCAGUUAAAGUUAAUUUCGGAUCUAUUAAUUCAUUAAAUUUCCACGAAUUUUCUCUUUAUUCGAAUAAAAGUAAACGCAUUAACACAGCCCUACGUAAUAGUAAUGUGCGCCGUCGUAAAUAUCCUUUCUUCGUAAGAAAAUGGCAAACGCGAAAUCGUCGUUAACUUUAACUUGUAUCCGAGGUAUCUUCGCGAUAUAAUAGCAUGCUUACAUUUUCAAUGUGCAUCUUAUAAAAUAACAAAUGAUCAAUAUCAAUGUAGCUGAAAUGAACGGAGACACGGUUGUUUUGCUAUUUUAAUCAUUGUUUUCGAUUGGGUCGUAUCAGAAUCUGGUCGCGAUGAAAAUAAACAAAAAAUUAUAUAGAUCAAUUUACAACAAUACUUUUAAUCAUUCUAAUUCAUACACUGCUUGUAAAAACGUCGAUAUUUCUUUGCGCACAAGGUUCGAAUGCACGACGAGAAUAAUAUAUGUAACUACAUAACGAAACUGUAAUUACAAUUUGAAAAUUGUACGCCGCAGCAACGUUCGGUUACACUUAUCAUUCUCUUGUUAUGCAUUUUAUUUUUAUGCAUGUAAAAAAUACGAUUCAGCUCGACGAAAUAUGAAUUAAAAACGAUUGCUAAUUCCGCAAGAAGUUCUUAUUAUAUAAUAAAAUUGCUGAUUCUAUAAAUAACAGUUAUUUUUCUGUACUUAAACAUCACUUAUUUUUUCUCAUUGGUAGCAAUAUAACGAUAUAAAUUAAAACAGGUUCGUUACAGAUGAGAGACGCUGUCCUUGUAAAUUUUGCUUAUAUGAAAAUAAAUGGCUUAGUCGUUUCGGCACACAUUACGAUGCCUGUCUCGGUAAUAAUAUCGAAUCAGAUAGGAGAUUCUUGUAUGAGUAUUGUGCGCGUUAAUUCGACUUACAACGAAAUAUUGUUUACGUUAAAUGAUUUCUUGAGAUACAACGAUUAGACAAUACGUUUAAGAAUUUCUAUUAUGAUCGAAAUAAUAAUACAUAGUAAAUAAAGUCAAUGCGAAUAAAAAAGAAAAACAAUAUCACGAUGCCUGUGGCACUGUAUCAAUGACAAAAUUCUACUGAAAUAUACACGUAUAAAUAUUUAUGUACAAAUAUAAAAAUCUGAACAAAAGUGGUAUGAAAUAUCUCUCUGAUUUUGAACACUACUACUGUAAUAUGCCCAAUGAAAUCACUUACAAAGUCGUAUCCAAAAUAUGCCUACAAAAAGAAAACUAAGAAAAAGAAAAAAAAAGAAAACUAAGAAAAAGACAUUAAUUAUAGAUGUAAUGUUCCGUAGACACAGUAACUUUACGCUAGAACUCAAGCAGGCAGAGAUUCAUAGGCACUUCGUACCUUCACAGGACACUUAUACAUACAUGUAUAUCAAAUGUGUCAUGAGCAUAAAAACAAAUAUUGUCACAUUGUUCAUUAAUACGUAAGCAACAGCGACAGGCGAUAGUAAUGAUAUAACUACAGACGAUGAAUACACGUCUCUUAGACUUCUAUCGAUUAUAACAUAAUCGAAACGCGUACUAGCAAACUAAUUAGUUCUCGUGUAAUGAGCUGGUUAUACACACAUAUACAUCGAGUCUGGGAACGUGCAUUGGCACAGAGUGGAAUGAAACUGAUUUCGAGAAAAGGAAAGAAAAAAAUGUUUGACGACCGAUGUGAUGUAAAAUUUAAUGUGAUUGUCCCCUGCCACAUGUGAAUGGCUUAGCAGCGCGCGUGCCGGAAUUAAAACUUGACUAGAAAUGAACGAGCGUGCGAAGGAAUACAAUGUGCUGAUUUCCACAAUUUUCCGUACUCCAAAGGUUCCAUUUUUUUUUUCUUUCCUUAUUUAUAUUAAUCCCGUCAACUUAUUUUCAUUUUUUCCAUUUCAACAUUAAUCGCUACAAAGUAGAAUACUAAAAGUUACAGGCAGUUCUCGUGUCUGAGACAAGUUUCUCGUAAUAUACGUCAUAAUAUCUGUCAUAAAAGAAAAUUGUUCGAGAGGCGUUAAUUACUUCUACGAACUACAUUUUUUUUCAUUUUUUUUUUCUUUUAUACAAAAAUUGUUGUAACUCGAUGCUUCAAGUUGAAUCAGAAUUAAUUGACUGUCCAAGGUACGUAAGCACAUAAGCUGAAAUAACGUAAAAGUGAAAGUUGCACUUGAUGGGAAACGACCUCGAAUAGCCAAAUGAUUUUUAUUCAACUCGGUAAUAUAAAUUCGGUCUAACUAAUAAGAACUGUCCAUGUCUCUUGGUAUUCUCAAAUAAAAACUUAGCUUCCUUUCUGCCGCGUAAGCCCUCCAAUUAUGCGCGAUAUUUUAUCGAAGACUUAUAAAGCACAUUCGCGGGCAUGCCACGCGCACAGGUAUCCGUUAUUUCCUUGCAUGUGAAAAAGUAAAAUAUGAUUGUUCCGUGUUUUACGGACUUGCAGACGUUUAGAUGUAAUAGAAACAAGGUACAGAUAUCUUUUCGCGCGUUUUAAACUGAAGAAGAAUAUCAGUCUUUCUUUAGGAGAAAAAUUAGCGUUGACGUGCGAAACACGCUUAUAUGUAUAUGACACCAUAUCUUACAAAUAAACUUACGCACAUGAACAUGCGCUAUCGUUAGUAUAUCGUAAUGUAAGGUGGAUCAUAAUAGCGUUUGAUCUCUCAUUGUCACAUCGAAUGGUAGAAUAACAACACAUGUCGGUAGAAACGUUUGGAAGAAUACAAGAGUUCUAGUUCAGCCUUAAACCAUAUCAACUUGUUCGUCCAUAUUUGAUCGUGCUCGAUGAUACACGUAACAUAAAAGUUUAUCGGCUUUUAUGAACGAUAGUUUCGACAUACCAAUGCAAUUUGCAUUUGCACAGUGAGCUUGGAUAUUGUAUGAUUCUUACAAUAUAAAAAGACGAUCAAAUAAUAGAUCGGUAAGCUACAUGGUCCAUUCGUCAGAAUGUUCGUAUGUCUUAUAGAAACAUGCUCGAUUUUUCACUAGUUCACCAAAUAGUCGUAUUUGUUAAUUAAAAAAAUCACUUACUUUGACAUGUUUAUGCUCUCCCCGAAUGUUCCAUUUCGAUCACAAAAAGUUUCGAUAACACUAUUUCGUGUUUUUUCUGUUUGUUCUCGAUAUUAUCGAUAAAAAACGAGUCAUUCGAGUAGCUUUACAACAGUUGUCAAGGGCGUGGUAUCACGAGGGUUAUCACUGCGCUGCACUUUGUAACGAUCAACCAACCAACGGUCGAGUUAAUCGUCAAAAUUACCAACGAACCAAUUGUGCAUUCAGUUUAAUCCUACGAAAUUGAAAAUGUGUGGUUUUUACUGCUUAUUCCGUAUCGUGCAGGUCUUCAGUUCACAUAAUUCAACAGUCCGUGCAUAAGCCGU
This is a long non-coding RNA of Hylaeus volcanicus, 7095 nucleotides long. RefSeq lists it as uncharacterized. The transcript has 2 exons. Lineage: Eukaryota; Metazoa; Arthropoda; Insecta; Hymenoptera; Colletidae. The record is from RefSeq and is a predicted model, not a curated record.